This is a small nuclear RNA of Marmota marmota marmota (Alpine marmot), 103 nucleotides long. The record is from Ensembl. NCBI's taxonomy places the organism in Eukaryota, Metazoa, Chordata, Mammalia, Rodentia, Sciuridae.
GUGCUUACUUUGACAGCACUUAUACUAAAAUUAGAAUGACACAAAGAUGAGCAUGGCCACUGUGCAAGGAAACACUCAAGUUCAUGAAGUGUCCCAGAUUUUU